Bufo bufo (common toad) is the source of this 224-nucleotide long non-coding RNA. RefSeq lists it as uncharacterized. The transcript is spliced from 3 exons. The record is from RefSeq and is a predicted model, not a curated record. NCBI's taxonomy places the organism in Eukaryota, Metazoa, Chordata, Amphibia, Anura, Bufonidae.
GCACUGAUAUCACAGGACAUGGUAGGUAGGUCCAGGGUGCACUGAUAUCACAGAUUAUGGUAGGUAGGUCCAGGGUGUACUGAUAUCACAGAUUAUGGUAGGUAGGUCCCGGGUGCACUGAUAUCACAGAUUAUGGUAGGUAGGUCCCGGGUGCACUGAUAUCACAGAUUAUGGUAGGUAGGUCCCGGGUGCACUGAUAUAACAGAACACGGUAUUAGGGUGCC